This 427-nucleotide ribosomal RNA is filed under the name uncultured bacterium. Its description in RNAcentral is "partial 16S ribosomal RNA". It matches the Rfam family "Bacterial small subunit ribosomal RNA", at positions 355 to 774 of the family's 1533-position model. The record is from RNAcentral.
UGGGGAAUAUUGGACAAUGGGCGAAAGCCUGAUCCAGCCAUGCCGCGUGUGUGAAGAAGGUCUUCGGAUUGUAAAGCACUUUAAGUUGGGAGGAAGGGCAUUAACCUAAUACGUUAGUGUUUUGACGUUACCGACAGAAUAAGCACCGGCUAACUCUGUGCCAGCAGCCGCGGUAAUACAGAGGGUGCAAGCGUUAAUCGGAAUUACUGGGCGCAAAGCGCGCGUAGGUGGUUUGUUAAGUUGGAUGUGAAAUCCCCGGGCUCAACCUGGGAACUGCAUUCAAAACUGACUGACUAGAGUAUGGUAGAGGGUGGUGGAAUUUCCUGUGUAGCGGUGAAAUGCGUAGAUAUAGGAAGGAACACCAGUGGCGAAGGCGACCACCUGGACUAAUACUGACACUGAGGUGCGAAAGCGUGGGGAGCAAACA